GAUGAACGCUAGCUACAGGCUUAACACAUGCAAGUCGAGGGGAAACGGCAUUGAGUGCUUGCACUCUUUGGGCGUCGACCGGCGCACGGGUGAGUAACGCGUAUCCAACCUUCCCAUUACUGUGGGAUAACCUGCCGAAAGGCAGACUAAUACCGCAUAGUCUUCGAUGACGGCAUCAGAUUUGAAGUAAAGAUUUAUCGGUAAUGGAUGGGGAUGCGUCUGAUUAGCUUGUUGGCGGGGUAACGGCCCACCAAGGCUACGAUCAGUAGGGGUUCUGAGAGGAAGGUCCCCCACAUUGGAACUGAGACACGGUCCAAACUCCUACGGGAGGCAGCAGUGAGGAAUAUUGGUCAAUGGACGGAAGUCUGAACCAGCCAAGUAGCGUGCAGGAUGACGGCCCUAUGGGUUGUAAACUGCUUUUGUAUGGGGAUAAAGUUAGGGACGUGUCCCUAUUUGCAGGUACCAUACGAAUAAGGACCGGCUAAUUCCGUG
RNAcentral lists this ribosomal RNA (492 nucleotides) under uncultured bacterium. RNAcentral describes it as "partial 16S ribosomal RNA". It matches the Rfam family "Bacterial small subunit ribosomal RNA", at positions 28 to 507 of the family's 1533-position model. The record is from RNAcentral.